GUCGGGUGCAGUGGCAUGUGCCUGUCGUCUCGGCUACUCAGAACACUGAGGCAGGAGGAUCGCUUGAGCCCAGAAGUUCUGGGCUGUAGUGUGCUAUGUCAGUUGGAUUUCCGUACUAAGUUUGGCAUCAAUAUGGUGACCUCCUGGGAGCAAGAGACCAUCAGGUUACCUAAGGAAGGGUAAACCGGCUCAGGUCAGAAAUGGAGCAGGUCAGAACUCCCCUGCUGAUCAGUAGUGGGAUUGCGCCUGUGAAUAGCCCCUGCACUCCAGCCUGGGCAACAUAGUGAGACUGUGUCUCU
Molecule: signal recognition particle RNA, 299 nt
Filed under: Piliocolobus tephrosceles (Ugandan red Colobus)
Lineage: Eukaryota; Metazoa; Chordata; Mammalia; Primates; Cercopithecidae
Description: Metazoan signal recognition particle RNA (ENSPTEG00000003317.1)
Rfam family: Metazoan signal recognition particle RNA
About the family: The signal recognition particle (SRP) is a universally conserved ribonucleoprotein. It is involved in the co-translational targeting of proteins to membranes.
Source: RNAcentral